Molecule: ribosomal RNA, 253 nt
Filed under: uncultured bacterium
Lineage: Bacteria
Description: partial 16S ribosomal RNA
Rfam family: Bacterial small subunit ribosomal RNA
Source: RNAcentral
UACAGAGGUCCCAAGCGUUGUUCGGAUUCACUGGGCGUAAAGGGUGCGUAGGUGGUGGGGAAAGUCGGAUGUGAAAGCUCGGAGCUCAACUCCGAAAUGGCAUUGGAAACUACCCUGCUAGAGGAUUGGAGGGGGGACUGGAAUACUUGGUGUAGCAGUGAAAUGCGUAGAUAUCAAGUGGAACACCAGUGGCGAAGGCGAGUCCCUGGACAAUUCCUGACACUGAGGCACGAAAGCUAGGGGAGCAAACAGG